Molecule: ribosomal RNA, 850 nt
Filed under: uncultured Planctomycetota bacterium
Lineage: Bacteria; Pseudomonadati; Planctomycetota
Description: bacterial SSU rRNA
Rfam family: Bacterial small subunit ribosomal RNA
Source: RNAcentral
CCCAAUGCGGCUGAUAGGCAUGCAGUCGAGCGCUCAUCAGCCAUGGUGGGAGCGGCGAACGGCUUAGGGAGACUUAUGUGCGUGUCCUCGGGACGGGGAUAGGUACAGCUGCCUGAAAGUGCUAUUCGACCUCACUGCGUCUCAAGAGUGUGAUUGUGCCUGGGGAGCGGCUUACGCCUUAUUAGCUAGUUGGUGGGGUAAUGGCCUGGCCCGCGAUGAUGUCUUGGGGGUGUGAGAUGUGGCCCCCCGACCGGAACUGAGAUACUGUCCGGACACCUACGGGUGGCUGCACUCCAGAAUCUUCCGCAAUGGACGAAAGUCUGACCUGAGACACCGCGUGCGGGAUGAAGGCCCUUGGGUUGUAAACCGCUGUCAGAGGGGAUGAAAUCUUCUGAGGUACUCCUCCCCUCCUUACCUAGCCUCAUCCGAAGCACGGGCUAAGUACGUGCCAGCGCCCGCGGUAACACUUACUGUGCGAACGUUAUUCGGAAUCACUGGGCUGGAGGGUGCGUAGGCGGCGAUUCAAGUCAGAUGUGAAAUGCCUGACCUCAACUGAGGCAUUGCGUUUGAAACUGAACUGCUUGAGUAUCCUAGGGGUGUGCGUGAACUGCCAGUGGAACGGUGAAAUGUGUUGAUAUUGAUAGGAACACCGGACGCGUGGCGGCACACUGGGGUAUAACUGACGCUGAGGCACGAGACCAAGGGAGCGAAGGGAUUAGAUACCCCGGUAGUCUUGGCCUAAACUAUGAGUACUGGGCGGGAUGGGAUGUCCCCUUUCUGCCGUAUCGAAAGCGUUAAGUACUCCACCUGGGGAGUAUGGUCGUAUGGCUGAAACUCAAAGAAUUGACGG